This is a small nucleolar RNA of Boleophthalmus pectinirostris (great blue-spotted mudskipper), 124 nucleotides long. RefSeq annotates it as small nucleolar RNA SNORA49. Lineage: Eukaryota; Metazoa; Chordata; Actinopteri; Gobiiformes; Gobiidae. The record is from RefSeq and is a predicted model, not a curated record. The transcript has a single exon.
GUCCCCGUCUUACACCGAGGCCUCCUGUGAGUGGAGAGCUCUGGAUGAAUGGGGUAAAUGAACCUGCUCUCUUCCCUCCCUGCUGGAGACUGUUCCUCUCAGGGUCUACAUACCAGCUCACAUU